AACGAACGCUGGCGGCAGGCUUAACACAUGCAAGUCGAACGCACCCUUCGGGGUGAGUGGCAGACGGGUGAGUAACGCGUGGGAACGUGCCCAUCGGUUCGGAAUAACCCAGGGAAACUUGGGCUAAUACCGGAUACGACCUUUGGUGAAAGAUUGAUUCGCCGAUGGAUCGGCCCGCGUCUGAUUAGCUAGUUGGUGGGGUAACGGCUCACCAAGGCGACGAUCAGUAGCUGGUCUGAGAGGAUGAUCAGCCACACUGGGACUGAGACACGGCCCAGACUCCUACGGGAGGCAGCAGUGGGGAAUAUUGGACAAUGGGCGCAAGCCUGAUCCAGCCAUGCCGCGUGAGUGAUGACGGCCCUAGGGUUGUAAAGCUCUUUCGCACGCGACGAUAAUGACGGUAGCGUGAGAAGAAGCCCCGGCUAACUACGUGCCAGCCGCCGCGGUAA
RNAcentral lists this ribosomal RNA (449 nucleotides) under uncultured bacterium. RNAcentral describes it as "partial 16S ribosomal RNA". It matches the Rfam family "Bacterial small subunit ribosomal RNA", at positions 29 to 523 of the family's 1533-position model. The record is from RNAcentral.